Molecule: microRNA precursor, 89 nt
Organism: Caenorhabditis elegans
Lineage: Eukaryota; Metazoa; Nematoda; Chromadorea; Rhabditida; Rhabditidae
Source: Ensembl
ACUCUAAUGACAAGCUGGAAUGUAGUUGAGGUUAGUAAAAGCACUAUACUUGUUACAAACCUUGCCACGUUCCGACUUGUCAAAAGAGU